UGAGCCACGCUGCCGUUCGUUCCUUGCCGU
RNAcentral lists this non-coding RNA (30 nucleotides) under Mus musculus (house mouse). Lineage: Eukaryota; Metazoa; Chordata; Mammalia; Rodentia; Muridae. The record is from RNAcentral.